GACGAACGCUGGCGGCGUGCUUAACACAUGCAAGUCGAACAGAAAGGCCCUGCUUUUGUGGGGUGCUCGAGUGGCGAACGGGUGAGUAACACGUGAGUAACCUGCCCUUGACUUUGGGAUAACUUCAGGAAACUGGGGCUAAUACCGGAUAGGAGCUCCUGCUGCAUGGUGGGGGUUGGAAAGUUUCGGCGGUUGGGGAUGGACUCGCGGCUUAUCAGCUUGUUGGUGGGGUAGUGGCUUACCAAGGCUUUGACGGGUAGCCGGCCUGAGAGGGUUACCGGCCACAUUGGGACUGAGAUACGGCCCAGACUCCUACGGGAGGCAGCAGUGGGGAAUAUUGCACAAUGGGCGGAAGCCUGAUGCAGCAACGCCGCGUGCGGGAUGACGGCCUUCGGGUUGUAAACCGCUUUCGCCUGUGACGAAGCGUGAGUGACGGUAAUGGGUAAAGAAGCACCGGCUAACUACGUG
RNAcentral lists this ribosomal RNA (468 nucleotides) under uncultured bacterium. Its description in RNAcentral is "partial 16S ribosomal RNA". It matches the Rfam family "Bacterial small subunit ribosomal RNA", at positions 28 to 507 of the family's 1533-position model. The record is from RNAcentral.